GGCGUCUUCGUGGGAAGUAUCCGUCCGGCCCGCGGCUCUCAAACUGCCCACAAAGUAAAGCAAGGAAGUAAAGGCUAGCCCACCAUCCUACAUUUCAAACUUCUCCGAGACAGCAUAAGGAUUGAUUUUUAAACAUGCAAUCAUUUUCCUUUCAAUCAAAUGGCCAGGGACAGUUAAUUAAACCAACAGUGUGCUUGGUGCUGUGCGAAAAAUCACGCCUUGUGUGUUUCACAGAUGUGCAAUUCUCUGGAACUCCACUGUGGAGCUACUUCAUUAUAACUGCAACAAGCAGUACUUGUAUUGCUGGAUCAGACCUCGAGAAUUGGUGCAACUUGUGACAUCGUCAUUGCAGAAGCAUGGAGGGAAAAGGACCCUGGGCACCAUUUUACACCAAAACAGAGAUUUGCUUCUUUCAAUAAAAUACAUUGUAUUUGAAUCUCACAACACAACAUUGAGGAAACAGUCUUGUGGAGUACUUACAUUCAGUCCACAAACAUGACGGAAAAGAGAACAAUGUUGACAAGACAUGGGGAACAACCUCAAAGGACAAACUUAUAUGGUGCAGAACCUGCAAGCUUGCAGUUUAAUAUUUGAGUGACAUUGAUUGAGAGUCAUCAAAGAAGGAAAGGAGUUAGUGUAUGCCUGGUGCUGUCAACACAGAACUGAGCCAUUCGUGUGAUGUGUGCAGCCACACUUGCUGGUCACAGAUUGAUCGUGUUUGACAUUGACUGUGCAGUCGGUCCAUGACUUAAUGACAGAGAUAUCUGUCAGUUCUUCUGUGAUUUGCCUUGCUUUCACUGGUAAGUUCCAGGAAGCCCAGGAAACCAGUGGACACAGUUAUGUUUAAUGUUAAAAUUACUCUAAUUGGUUAAUUAACAUUAUUGAUAUUGACAGCUUGCCUCUCCAGAAGGGAUUGCUUGCAUGCAAUCUUUCAUGUUGAUGUUGAAUAUGGAAGUUGCUUGGCUGGAGGCAGCUAGCUAAUUUUCAACACAUUUAAUACCACACCCCUCCUCCCCUGGCUCCCAAUCUCAGUUUCAAAACAUGAAAUUCCCAGAUGUAAAAUAUCCUAGCUAUAGUCUUACAGUUAUCUUGUAUAGACUCAUUCCCUCCCCAUUAUUUUUGUAUUAAAUUAACCAAUGUGAAAUUAAAUGUAUCAUUUUAAGACUUCUAAUUCCAUUUCUGAAAUUAAAAAAAAAUU
This is a long non-coding RNA of Pristis pectinata (smalltooth sawfish), 1198 nucleotides long. RefSeq lists it as uncharacterized. The record is from RefSeq and is a predicted model, not a curated record. The transcript is spliced from 4 exons. Lineage: Eukaryota; Metazoa; Chordata; Chondrichthyes; Rhinopristiformes; Pristidae.